This is a non-coding RNA of Gopherus flavomarginatus (Mexican gopher tortoise), 623 nucleotides long. The record is from the annotation of a RefSeq genome assembly. NCBI's taxonomy places the organism in Eukaryota, Metazoa, Chordata, Testudines, Testudinidae.
CAAAUAACGGUCAGAGUUUCCUGUUUAAAUCUGCCCCUCUCUCUGCCCAGACUGCACUUAAGAGACACAAUCCGCAGCCACCCGUGUCUGUGCAGUUACCAGCCAGUCCCUGAGAACUUUCCCCUCAAACCCCUGGGGAAAUGAGGCUUUGGCUGUACCUCGUUCUCACUGCAGCAUGUCUGGAAGGUGUCCGGUCGCAGGCGCUGGUGGAGUCCGGAGGGGAUGUGAAAAAGCCCGGAGACUCUCUCCGCCUCUCCUGCAAAGCCUCCGGCUUCACCUUCAGCAGCUACUGGAUGAGCUGGGUCCGGCAGGCUCCCGGGAAGGGACUGGAGUGGAUCGCCUUAAUUCACGGUUCCAGCAUAUACUACAGUGACUCGGUAAAAGGGCGAUUCACCGUCUCCAGAGAUGACCCCAGCAGCCUGUUGUACCUGCAAAUGACCGGCCUGAAGCCCGAGGACACCGCCCGCUAUUACUGUGCGAGACACACAGUGCGGGGAACCCCGACAGGGCUCGUACAAAAACCCGAGCGGCAGAACCGCCCUUCCGCCAUGCGCCGCGCGGGGGCAGCACUUCCCCAGACAAUCCGGCCCUGGGCACGGGCACAGGAGCUGCAACCAGAGUGA